GUGUUCGGAUUGCGGCGACGUGAGCGGUUCGCCGCCCGCGACGUCGCAAGAAGUCCACUGAACCUUAUCAUUUAGAGGAAGGAGAAGUCGUAACAAGGUUUCCGUAGGUGAACCUGCGGAAGGAUCAUUGUCGAAUCCUGCAAGCAACCGCGAACACGUUCUAAAAACCCACGGGGCGCGGGCGGACUCGCGUCUGCCGGCCCCGGACUAAACAAAACUUCCGGCGCGGAAAGCGCCAAGGACUACUAAAAUGGAUCGUUCGCGUCUCCCGGCGGCUUCCGCCGGACGGGCGCGCGCGUCUGAAUCGUAACCAAUACGACUCUCGGCAACGGAUAUCUAGGCUCUCGCAUCGAUGAAGAACGUAGCGAAAUGCGAUACUUGGUGUGAAUUGCAGAAUCCCGUGAACCAUCGAGUUUUUGAACGCAAGUUGCGCCCGAAGCCAUCCGGCGAGGGCACGUCUGCCUGGGCGUCACGCACCGUCGCCACCCUCCCCACAGCUCCCGCGCUUAGGGACGGGUGACGGAUGUUGGCCUCCCGUGACCCUGGCGUCGCGGCCGGCCUAAAUCGUAGUCCUCCCCUCGGGACGUCACGGCAAGUGGUGGUUGGAAUCAUUUCUUACCUCGUUCCGAACCGUGGCCCAUACCGUUGCGGAGUGCUAUUAGACCCUGAGCCCUCGGGCUAUCGACCAUGACCC
RNAcentral lists this unclassified non-coding RNA (694 nucleotides) under Neanotis nummularia. Its description in RNAcentral is "sequence contains ITS1, 5.8S rRNA gene, ITS2". The stretch from base 318 to 472 matches the Rfam family "5.8S ribosomal RNA". The record is from RNAcentral. Lineage: Eukaryota; Viridiplantae; Streptophyta; Magnoliopsida; Gentianales; Rubiaceae.